RNAcentral lists this ribosomal RNA (1583 nucleotides) under Girardia anderlani. RNAcentral's name for it is "eukaryotic LSU rRNA". It matches the Rfam family "Eukaryotic large subunit ribosomal RNA", at positions 84 to 1488 of the family's 3401-position model. The record is from RNAcentral. Lineage: Eukaryota; Metazoa; Platyhelminthes; Tricladida; Dugesiidae.
UAGUGCGACGACGGUCAUAGCCAGCACGAAUCCUGUAUCGCAAGGUACUAGGAGUUGUGGUGUAAAGGUUAUGUUUUUAAUGACGUAAUGUAUUUCAAGUUCACUUGAUUGUGAUAUUGUCCAGAGAGGGUGUUAGACCCGUUGGAAUAUGUGAGGUUGUUAUUGAUAUUUCCUAUGAGUCGGAUUGUUUGAGAAUGCAGUCCAAAGUGGGUGGUAAACUCCAUCUAAGGCUAAAUACUUGUGUGAGUCCGAUAGCAAACAAGUACCGUGAGGGAAAGUUGAAAAGAACUCUGAAGAGAGAGUUAAAUAGUACGUGAAAUUGCUCAGAGGUAAACGAGUGGAGCCAAAGAUGUUGUGUUGAAUUCAGUUAGCUGUAUAAUGAGUUUUUUAAUUGCAAAUAUUUUUUUAGUCUUGCAAUUUUUUUUAUGAUUGUUAUACAGUUGAUGCACUUUCUUCACAGCAAGACUGCGACCAAUGAUGUCAUUUUUCUGUCGUAAGAUUGAAGGUGAUCAUGUCUUCGGAUGUGGUUUUAUAGCAACUUACAUGGUUAAAUAAUUUAUUGGUGUUUGCGAUGAGUCAAUUUGGUUGAUUUUUCAUUUCAUUUUUUAUUAGUAGACUUGCAAAAGACUAUUAAUUGUUUUUAGAGUGCAUAUAAUUAAUAAAAGAUUUGUCAAAAGUCGGCAGUGUAUGUAGGUCACCUACUCGUCCCGUCUUGAAACACGGGCCAAGAAUUUUUAUAUGAUCCCAAGUCAAAGGGCUAUACGAAACCCCAGGGCGAAAUUAAUGUAAAGAUUUACUUCGGUAAAUUAUGAUGCGACCUUGGUUGAAUCCCAACCGAGUGCAGCAACGACCCGUCUAAAGAUGUUCGCAUCUGGGCGGAGUUUGAGCGAUCAUGUAGAGACCCGAAAGAUGGUGAACUAUGCUUGUGCAGGUUGAAGUCAUAGGAAACUGUGAUGGAAGACCGCGCUGGUUCUGACGUGCAAAUCGAUCGUCGGACAUGAGUAUAGGGGCGAAAGACUAAUCGAACCAUCUAGUAGCUGGUUCCCUCCGAAGUUUCCCUCAGGAUAGCUGGCAUUUGUGAUCUAGUAUCACCCGGUAAAGCGAAUGAUUAGAAGCAUUGGGGACGAAAUGUCCUCAACUUAUUCUCAAACUUUAAAUGGGUACGAAGUGUAUCUUUCUUUAUUUUGUCAAGAUUAAUAGAUAAAUGCUAGUGGGCCAUUUUUGGUAAGCAGAACUGGCGAUGUGGGAUGAACCAAACAUCCGGUUAAGGUGCCUAACAUUACGCUCAUGAGAAACCACAAAAGUCGUUGGUUGAUUAAGACAGCAGGACGGUGGACAUGGAAGUCGUCAUCCGCUAAGGAAUGUGUAACAACUCACCUGCCGAAUCAACCAGCUCUGAAAAUGGAUGGCGCUGUAGCGUAAGACCUAUACCGGAUCGAUAUCGUAAGUUUAUAAAGCGAGUAAACGAUGUCGUGUAGGAGGGUGCUGUGAUUGCUAAGAAGCAUUAGCGUGAGUUGGUGUGGAGCGGUGCAGCGGGUACAGAUCUUGGUAGUAGUAGCAAUUAUUCAAGUGAGAUCCUUGAA